GACGAACGCUGGCGGCGUGCUUAACACAUGCAAGUCGAACGGAAAGGCCCUGCUUGCGGGGUGCUCGAGUGGCGAACGGGUGAGUAACACGUGGGUGAUCUGCCCCUUACUUUGGGAUAAGCCUGGGAAACUGGGUCUAAUACUGGAUAGGACCAUGCUGUAGGUGGUGUGGUGGAAAGAUUAGUUUCGGUAAGGGAUGAGCUCGCGGCCUAUCAGCUUGUUGGUGGGGUAAUGGCCUACCAAGGCGUCGACGGGUAGCCGGCCUGAGAGGGUGGACGGCCACAUUGGGACUGAGAUACGGCCCAGACUCCUACGGGAGGCAGCAGUGGGGAAUAUUGCACAAUGGGCGCAAGCCUGAUGCAGCGACGCCGCGUGGGGGAUGACGGCCUUCGGGUUGUAAACUCCUUUCAGCCAUGACGAAGCCCUUGUGGUGACGGUAGUGGUAGAAGAAGCACCGGCUAACUACGUG
Molecule: ribosomal RNA, 469 nt
Filed under: uncultured bacterium
Lineage: Bacteria
Description: partial 16S ribosomal RNA
Rfam family: Bacterial small subunit ribosomal RNA
Source: RNAcentral